UACGUAGGGUGCAAGCGUUAUUCGGAAUUACUGGGCGUAAAGGGCGCGUAGGCGGGUCUGUGUGUCGAUUGUGAAAGCCCUGGGCUUAACCCGGGAAUGGCAGUCGAAACUGCAGAUCUUGAGUAUCUAAGAGGAUGGCGGAAUUCCCGGUGUAGAAGUGAAAUUCGUAGAUAUCGGGAAGAACACCUGAGGCGAAGGCGGCUGUCUGGUGGUGUACUGACGCUGAGGCGCGAAAGCGUGGGGAGCAAACAGG
This 253-nucleotide ribosomal RNA is filed under the name uncultured bacterium. RNAcentral's name for it is "partial 16S ribosomal RNA". It matches the Rfam family "Bacterial small subunit ribosomal RNA", at positions 524 to 776 of the family's 1533-position model. The record is from RNAcentral.